AUCCUAUUGUUCAUCAGCAUGAUGAUUAGGUUUUCAUGCGCCUGCAUGAGAUGUGCUUCUCACAAAUCUUAUUACAAUAUCAGCACAUUACCCAUCAGAUG
This is a small nucleolar RNA of Otolemur garnettii (small-eared galago), 101 nucleotides long. Lineage: Eukaryota; Metazoa; Chordata; Mammalia; Primates; Galagidae. The record is from Ensembl.